Molecule: ribosomal RNA, 253 nt
Filed under: uncultured bacterium
Lineage: Bacteria
Description: partial 16S ribosomal RNA
Rfam family: Bacterial small subunit ribosomal RNA
Source: RNAcentral
GACGUAGGGCGCGAGCGUUGUCCGGAUUUAUUGGGCGUAAAGAGCUCGUAGGCGGCUUGUUGCGUCGACCGUGGAAACCUGUGGCUUAACCACAGGCUUGCGGUUGAUACGGGCAGGCUAGAGUUCGGUAGGGGAGACUGGAAUUCCUGGUGUAGCGGUGAAAUGCGCAGAUAUCGGGAGGAACACCAGUGGCGAAGGCGGCAACCUGGACAGAUAUUGACGCUGAGGUGCGAAAGCGUGGGGAGCAAACAGG